AGAGUUUGAUCCUGGCUCAGAAUCAACGCUGGCGGCGUGCCUAACACAUGCAAGUCGCACGAGAAAGGGGAGCAAUCCCUGAGUAUAGUGGCGCACGGGUGAGUAACACGUGACUAACCUACCCUCGAGUGGGGAAUAACCUAGGGAAACCUGGGCUAAUACCGCAUAACACUUACGAGUCAAAGCAGCAAUGCGCUUGGGGAGGGGGUCGCGGCCGAUUAGCUAGUUGGCGGGGUAAUGGCCCACCAAGGCAAUGAUCGGUAUCCGGCCUGAGAGGGCGCACGGACACACUGGAACUGGAACACGGUCCAGACUCCUACGGGAGGCAGCAGUGGGGAAUUUUGCGCAAUGGGGGAAACCCUGACGCAGCAACGCCGCGUGGAGGAUGAAGUCUCUUGGGACGUAAACUCCUUUCGAUCGGGAAGAUAAUGACGGUACCGAUAGAAGAAGCCCCGGCUAACUUCGUGCCAGCAGCCGCGGUAAUACGAGGGGGGCAAGCGUUGUUCGGAAUUAUUGGGCGUAAAGGGUGCGUAGGCGGUCUGGUAAGUCUUGUGUGAAAUCUUCAGGCUCAACCUGAAGUCUGCAUGAGAAACUGCCGGGCUUGAGCAUGGGAGAGGUGAGUGGAAUUUCCGGUGUAGCGGUGAGAUGCGUAGAUAUCGGAAGGAACACCUGUGGCGAAAGCGGCUCACUGGACCAUAACUGACG
Molecule: ribosomal RNA, 705 nt
Filed under: uncultured bacterium
Lineage: Bacteria
Description: bacterial SSU rRNA
Rfam family: Bacterial small subunit ribosomal RNA
Source: RNAcentral